Long non-coding RNA from Spinacia oleracea (spinach), 2328 nucleotides. RefSeq lists it as uncharacterized. The record is from RefSeq and is a predicted model, not a curated record. The transcript is spliced from 9 exons. Lineage: Eukaryota; Viridiplantae; Streptophyta; Magnoliopsida; Caryophyllales; Amaranthaceae.
GGAGAGAGAAAGAAAGAAGAUGAUGGUUUUUUUUAUUAUCUUUUAAGCUCUUCAAUUGUUUUGCUCGUGUGGCGGUGUGGGUAGUCGGAGUAAUUGGUUUGUACAUACGCGUAUAGAUCUUUGGAUUAAUUAUGAAUGUGCAUAUUUUUUAAACUAAAUAUGCAUAUUUUUUGAACUAAAUAUAAAUUUAGCUUAAAAAAUAUGCACAUAUUGUUCAAAAGAUAUGCACAUAUAGUUAAAAAAAUAUGCAUAAAGGUUCUCACGAUAAAAGAAGUUCUCACUUUAAGGUGGUUCUCACAGGAACCUCACCCUACAUCUCUAUUAUAUAAGCCAACUCCUGAGGGUUUUUUUGGUAAAUUAACUUUUCGUGUCCACUUGAGAAAAUACAAUAAUGCCCUCCCCCGUUUAACCGUUAAUCACAGUUACAAACCCUAAAAUGUCGCGGUCUCUUACCGCACACUCUCCUCCCCCUCUCUCUCUCUCUCCCUCCCUCCCUCCCUCCCUCCAUCUCAACUCCAUCUCCCUUUCUUUCGAUGCGUGAAACCUCAGCAGCAACUAUGGUAAGUCUUCAUCUUCUCCCUUUCUCUAUCUUCUAUUCUUCGAUUCAUCUUCGUCUUCUACCCCUGAGAUCGGAUUAUUUUUGUUUAAUGGCAAAAAGAAACAGAAACGGCAAACCUAAUUCAAUUUACAUAACCCAAAACCUUUGAAUCUCCACAAAUCAAAACACACUCAGAAAACACAAUCACAAAGAGAGAAAAUUUUCUCAGAAAACCUUUGAAUCUCUCUCUCUCCAAAAUCAACUGAUUUGUUUUCCCCAAAUUUGACUUCGAAACUCUUCGAGAAUUUGAUUUCUCUCUUAAUGAAUGGGCAAAAGCUGCCGCUGCGUGAGAAAGACGCAUUGCAAUGGUUGAAUUAGAGAGGAGUGAAGGAGACAUAAAUCAUAGUUUUAUGACAUUGGAAGAAAUCAGGUUAGAGAAUGAUAAGCAUAAUAAUGGGUAAAACGAGCUAAUCCGAGAACAAGGAGAAUGCAGCAGCAGCUGUCCUUCUUACUAUUUGGACAAAUUCACCCUCUGGAAAACCCUAGCUGUUCGAAUUUCUCUACUGAUCUCACUUUGAAGAUGGUGAUUUUAAGAAAGAAGAUGUUGCAGAUCCUACUGGCAGGAGUGGUUCCUUUCCAAACGAAUAGGAAAUUGCAAUUUAACGUCACAGAAAGUGUUGAAUACUGCUGGAUGGACUAUGAAUUAGAUGCAGCAAUAUAACUCAGAUGUAAUACUACUAAGUGCAGUUGGACAGGAAGCAAGAGAGGGUGUGAAAGAGCCUAGACCAGAAGUUUAUAAAGAUCAGAAUUACUAUGGAGGUAAUUUUAAUCAGAAACAGGGUGGGGAUUCGACGGUGCAAGGUUCGAGGACGAGUGACGGCAAGGUGGAGUCUGGAUCAGAAAGAAGGGGUUAGUAUUAUCGACUGUAUAUUUCUUUGUGAUUUGAUGAUUUUUGAUUUGAUGAUUAGAUGAUGAUUAUGAUGAUGAUGGGAGAAUUGUUAAUGGUGUUACUGGACAUAUGACAGCUCUACGGAAAUGAAGGAGACUAUAACGGGAAGGGAAAUUAUGGAGUCUUAUAAAACUAGGGAAAUUAUUUUUUUCUAAUGUAUUUAUUUAACUUUGAGCUUCGUACAUCGCGUGCAUCUCUAUUAAUUUUAGAACAUUUAUUGUUUAUGCAGUCGCUCUAGACCCGAAGCUCGGGGUAGUCCUGAAUUUGUUAAAGAUGAAAGCCCUGCUAAUGGAAGAUACCACAGUCGCUUUAGACUUGAGGUCGAGGAACGCCUGAUUAUCCUAAAGAUGAACUUCUAAUGGAAGAUAUCACAUGUUCAUCGUUCUAGACCUGAAACUCAGGGGAACUCCUGAUUAUGCUAAAGAUGAAGGCCUUGCUAAUGGAGGAAGAUACCACAGUCGAUCUCCUCCACCACGAGAGAGGUCGAGAUCCUAAGCAAGGAGAUGGUCACAAAUCGGUCACUUGAAGGGCUGUUUCUGGAGAGGGGACGAUAUCCUAAGCAAAGAAAUGAUCUUGAAUCAGUAUUUGUCAAGUGCAGGUUUUAGAGGAGAGCUAUAGUUGCUUAAAAGUACCCUAUUUGUGAAAAUGCAUGUAUCAACAAAUUUACAAUUGAAUUUGAUAUUGUGUUAGUGGUUUGAUGUAUUUUGAUAUCCCUUUAGAAGAGGGUUCAUAAGUGCUUAUGCUGUUGUCGAACCGUGGCUGAACUAUUUGUAUAUAGACAUGAUUUCAAGUGUGAACAUUUUGUAAAUUUUGUUAAUUUUAUGGAGACGUUCUUGAGUCA